GACGAACGCUGGCGGCAUGCCUAACACAUGCAAGUCUAGGGGUAGCAAUACCACUGGCGCACGGGUGAGUAACACGUAGGUUAUCUGCCCCCAUCACAGACAUAACCCCGGGAAACCGGGGCUAAUAUCUGAUGAGGUCGCGAGAUCAAAGCUUCGGCGGAUGGGGAUGAGCCUGCGGCUGAUUAGCUAGUUGGUGAGGUAAUGGCUCACCAAGGCGACGAUCAGUAGCUGGUCUGAGAGGACGAACAGCCACACUGGAACUGAGACACGGUCCAGACUCCUACGGGAGGCAGCAGUGAGGAAUAUUGGUCAAUGGGAGCAAUCCUGAACCAGCAAUGCCGCGUGUGGGAUGACAGGGCUUCGCCUUGUAAACCACUGUCGGACGGGACGAAAGGAGGCCUCGGGGCCUCUGGGACGGUACCGUCAAAGGAAGGGUCGGCUAACUACGUGCCAGCAGCCGCGGUAAU
This 467-nucleotide ribosomal RNA is filed under the name uncultured bacterium. Its description in RNAcentral is "bacterial SSU rRNA". It matches the Rfam family "Bacterial small subunit ribosomal RNA", at positions 28 to 524 of the family's 1533-position model. The record is from RNAcentral.